RNAcentral lists this long non-coding RNA (443 nucleotides) under Citrus sinensis (sweet orange). RNAcentral describes it as "long non-coding RNA (CSIN_LNC001501)". Lineage: Eukaryota; Viridiplantae; Streptophyta; Magnoliopsida; Sapindales; Rutaceae. The record is from RNAcentral.
CCGGUCACAAUGAUUUCAAAAAAAAAAAAAAGUUGUGUGGAUAUCCCGGUCACAAUGAUUUCAAAAUAUUAAGAUACAUGUAUAUAUUUACAAAUUGUUGUAUAAAUUUUAUUUGCAAAAAAAAAAAAAAAAGUUGAAAAAUGAAUAUUGAAAAAGGAAAAAAAAAAUAUUAAGAUACAUGUAUAUAUUUACAAAUUGUUGUAUAAAUUUUAUUUGCAAAAUUUGAGGUGAGAGUUGAGGUGGCACGAAUCAUUUUUAGAUCAAUAUUGGAUUUGAAAUAGUUAUCUAGAAUCUGUAAUGUACAUUAAUAAAAUAGAAACAAAAACUUUUGUAUUUCAUUGUCGUAGAAUUUUGUUUUUAAAUAAUAAAUAAAUAUAAAUAUUAGGGUUUCUAUCUUUCUUCUAUUCCUUUCAGCCUCGGAAAAAUACUCUCCUCCAUUUAAA